Micropterus salmoides (largemouth bass) is the source of this 1154-nucleotide long non-coding RNA. RefSeq lists it as uncharacterized. The record is from RefSeq and is a predicted model, not a curated record. NCBI's taxonomy places the organism in Eukaryota, Metazoa, Chordata, Actinopteri, Centrarchiformes, Centrarchidae. The transcript has 3 exons.
AAAAAAAAGCCAACACCUCGGACUGCUUCCUAAGACGCAGUGUCCGUGCAGCAGGAAUAGCGGCCUCUCGCGGCUGCUUCCUGGAUGUGCAUGCGAGGGCGUGAGGAGCACAACCCUCCUCAGCGGCUGACGUCACGCGGCAGCGGCUGUCAGAGGGGGCGUGGCCUUGUUCUGCUGCAGCAGAGAAAUAUGACAUGGGGAUGAGCGAAAGAGAGAGGGAGAGAGUGAGACAGCCUGAUAGGAAUUAACGGUUCGUCAGAGGUCUGGACUGGAAACCUUAGGAUGGGGAGUAAUGACUGAAAACAGAACGAAUCGACAAGGACAUGCACGGUAAAGUGGAGAUCGCAACUGCUGCCAUACCGGAGUGACCCUGCUCGCACUGCAAGAUGUGGAGGAGGAGCACAACAAUCUAAUGUAUAUGCUCUGGGCAACGUGACUGGAGACUUGGCUCUUUGCAUCAGGAGAGUGCCUUUUUUGAAACUAUGCUGCCUGUUACAUUGUGGAACUUUUUACAGCUCAAUCCUCUGCAUUUUUCCACAUUCUGUCUGAAACUUUUUAAUCUUUUUUAGUUAUUUACUACCGGUAUAUCAUGUCACACUUAGCUUAUUGGUGUUCCUAGUUACUGUUGUAUCUACACGUUAUUUAAGGCACUCUGUUACAAAUGGUUGAUGCAUGUUCUGCUUUAUUACAUUUAAAUAUAUAUAUUUAUAUUCAAAAGGUGACAAUGGAGAGAAAUUAAAUAUUUUUAUGGUUGCUCUGAUUUUAGACUGCAUUUUAGGUGUCUGAGUGGCAUUUCGUAGAACAAGUUCUGACAGCACCUUUUUCACUGUUCACUGCUGGCGUUCUCUGUUAAAAUCCUGCCUGGGGAAAAUAAAGUUUUAUUUUUGCCCCUCACCUGAAUGUGCCCUCUGACUUGAGGAGGGAGAACAUGGUGACAGCAACAAUUUUUUUAUAUUUUUUUUAUUCCAUCCGGUCCUGUUUUGCAGUUGUUACAAGACAGAGGUUUAUGUUAGCACUGAAACUGUACAGUGACCAAAUGAAGAGUAUGUUAAGAUUCAAAUAACCAACAUUUUUUUUCCUCAGCUUUGCAGAUCUCUUCCACUUAGAAUCCACUAGAUGGCACCACAAACACAUGUCAUUGAAAUCAUAAAAAA